This 231-nucleotide ribosomal RNA is filed under the name uncultured bacterium. RNAcentral describes it as "partial 16S ribosomal RNA". It matches the Rfam family "Bacterial small subunit ribosomal RNA", at positions 103 to 334 of the family's 1533-position model. The record is from RNAcentral.
CGGGCGAGUAACGCGUGGGUAACCUGCCUUGUACAGGGGGAUAACAGUUGGAAACGGCUGCUAAUACCGCAUAAGCGCACGGCAUCGCAUGAUGCAGUGUGAAAAACUCCGGUGGUAUAAGAUGGACCCGCGUUGGAUUAGCUAGUUGGUGAGGUAACGGCCCACCAAGGCGACGAUCCAUAGCCGACCUGAGAGGGUGACCGGCCACAUUGGGACUGAGACACGGCCCAA